RNAcentral lists this ribosomal RNA (446 nucleotides) under uncultured bacterium. RNAcentral describes it as "bacterial SSU rRNA". It matches the Rfam family "Bacterial small subunit ribosomal RNA", at positions 330 to 793 of the family's 1533-position model. The record is from RNAcentral.
UCCAGACUCCUACGGGAGGCAGCAGUGGGGAAUAUUGCACAAUGGGGGAGACCCUGAUGCAGCGACGCCGCGUGAGUGAAGAAGUAAUUCGUUAUGUAAAGCUCUAUCAGCAGGGAAGAAAAUGACGGUACCUGAGUAAGAAGCCCCGGCUAACUACGUGCCAGCAGCCGCGGUAAUACGUAGGGGGCAAGCGUUAUCCGGAUUCACUGGGUGUAAAGGGAGCGUAGACGGCGACGCAAGUCUGGAGUGAAAGCCCGGGGCCCAACCCCGGGACUGCUCUGGAAACUGUACGGCUGGAGUGCAGGAGAGGUAAGUGGAAUUCCUAGUGUAGCGGUGAAAUGCGUAGAUAUUAGGAGGAACACCAGUGGCGAAGGCGGCUUACUGGACUGUAACUGACGUUGAGGCUCGAAAGCGUGGGGAGCAAACAGGAUUAGAUACCCUGGUAC